AAACAUGUCUGGAUGUUUAAAUAUUUAGUUUUACCUGCUCAAUGCAGUUAAUAGCUGCAGUAUUUUGACUGUACAAAGGUAGCAUAAUAAUUAGUCUUUUAAUUGGAGGAUGGAAUGAAGGGUUUGACGGAGUAUUUUUAUUCCAAUUGAAUUUAUAUUUUAGGUCAAAAUACUUAAUUUGUUGAAAGGGACGAUAAGACCCUAUAGAAUUUAAUAUUCCGAGUAUUUAUUGGGGUGAUUAAAGAAACAUUUAUUUUUUUUAUUUUUAUAUACUUUAUGAUCCUUUGAGACAACAAGAUUCAAUUACCUUAGGGAUAACAGCAUAAUUUUUCUAGGAAGAUCUUAUUCAAAGAAGAGAUUAUGACCUCGAUGUUGAAUUAAAUUAUUUUGAGGUGCAGAAGCUUUAAU
Molecule: ribosomal RNA, 408 nt
Filed under: Cecidopsylla schimae
Lineage: Eukaryota; Metazoa; Arthropoda; Insecta; Hemiptera; Calophyidae
Description: partial 16S ribosomal RNA
Source: RNAcentral